This 205-nucleotide ribosomal RNA is filed under the name uncultured bacterium. RNAcentral describes it as "partial 16S ribosomal RNA". It matches the Rfam family "Bacterial small subunit ribosomal RNA", at positions 8 to 198 of the family's 1533-position model. The record is from RNAcentral.
AGAGUUUGAUCAUGGUUCAGGAUGAACGCUAGCUACAGGCUUAACACAUGCAAGUCGGAGGGGGCAGCAUGGACCCAGCUUCGCUGGGUUUGAUGGCGACCGGCGCACGGGUGAGUAACGCGUAUCCAACCUGCCCGUUUACUCCGGGAUAGUCUCCUGAAAGGGAGUUUAAUACCGGAUGUGUUUGUCUUUCCGCAUGGGAGCG